RNAcentral lists this ribosomal RNA (441 nucleotides) under uncultured soil bacterium. RNAcentral's name for it is "bacterial SSU rRNA". It matches the Rfam family "Bacterial small subunit ribosomal RNA", at positions 26 to 485 of the family's 1533-position model. The record is from RNAcentral.
AGAUUGAACGCUAGCGGGAUGCUUUACACAUGCAAGUCGAACGGCAGCGCGGACUUCGGUCUGGCGGCGAGUGGCGAACGGGUGAGUAAUAUAUCGGAACGUGCCCAGUAGCGGGGGGAUAACUACGCGAAAGCGUGGCUAAUACCGCAUACGCCCUACGGGGGAAAGGGGGGGAUCGCAAGACCUCUCACUAUUGGAGCGGCCGAUAUCAGAUUAGCUAGUUGGUGAGGUAAAGGCUCACCAAGGCGACGAUCUGUAGCUGGUUUGAGAGGACGACCAGCCACACUGGGACUGAGACACGGCCCAGACUCCUACGGGAGCAGCAGUGGGAAUUUGGACAAGUGGGGGAAACCUGAUCCAGCCAUCCCGCGUGUGCGAUGAAGGCCUUCGAGGUUGUAAAGCUACGUUUUGGACGAGGGAAGAAACGGCGUUAGACUAAUA